UUCUGGCGUCAGGAUGAACGCUAGCUACAGGCUUAACACAUGCAAGUCGAGGGGUAGCAGGGUAGCAAUACCGCCGACGACCGGCGCGACGGUGAGUAACACGUAUCCAACCUUCCAUAACUCAGGGAUAGCCUUUACGAAAGAAAGAUUAAUACCUGAUAGUACUUUUUCAAGGCAUCUUGAAAAAGUUAAAGAUUUAUUGGUUAUGGAUGGGGAUGCGUUCCAUUAGAUAGUUGGUGAGGUAACGGCUCACCAAGUCUUCGAUGGAUAGGGGUUCUGAGAGGAAGGUCCCCCACAUUGGUACUGAGACACGGACCAAACUCCUACGGGAGGCAGCAGUGAGGAAUAUUGGUCAAUGGGCGAGAGCCUGAACCAGCCAAGUAGCGUGAAGGAAUGAAGGUCCUAUGGAUUGUAAACUUCUUUUAUAGUAGAAUAAAGUGAGCCACGUGUGGUUUUUUGUAUGUAUACUAUGAAUAAGGAUCGGCUAACUCCGUGCCAGCCGCAGC
Molecule: ribosomal RNA, 506 nt
Filed under: uncultured bacterium
Lineage: Bacteria
Description: bacterial SSU rRNA
Rfam family: Bacterial small subunit ribosomal RNA
Source: RNAcentral